GUGGGGAAUCUUAGACAAUGGGCGCAAGCCUGAUCUAGCCAUGCCGCGUGAGCGAUGAAGGCCUUAGGGUUGUAAAGCUCUUUCAGCUGGGAAGAUAAUGACGGUACCAGCAGAAGAAGCCCCGGCUAACUCCGUGCCAGCAGCCGCGGUAAUACGGAGGGGGCUAGCGUUGUUCGGAAUUACUGGGCGUAAAGCGCACGUAGGCGGAUCAGAAAGUCAGAGGUGAAAUCCCAGGGCUCAACCUUGGAACUGCCUUUGAAACUCCUGAUCUUGAGUUCGAGAGAGGUGAGUGGAAUUCCGAGUGUAGAGGUGAAAUUCGUAGAUAUUCGGAGGAACACCAGUGGCGAAGGCGGCUCACUGGCUCGAUACUGACGCUGAGGUGCGAAAGCGUGGGGAGCAAACAGGAUUAGAUACCCUAGUAGUCC
RNAcentral lists this ribosomal RNA (425 nucleotides) under uncultured bacterium. RNAcentral describes it as "partial 16S ribosomal RNA". It matches the Rfam family "Bacterial small subunit ribosomal RNA", at positions 354 to 796 of the family's 1533-position model. The record is from RNAcentral.